RNAcentral lists this ribosomal RNA (440 nucleotides) under uncultured bacterium. RNAcentral's name for it is "bacterial SSU rRNA". It matches the Rfam family "Bacterial small subunit ribosomal RNA", at positions 338 to 794 of the family's 1533-position model. The record is from RNAcentral.
CCUACGGGAGGCAGCAGUAGGGAAUCUUGCGCAAUGGACGAAAGUCUGACGCAGCAACGCCGCGUGCAGGAGGAAGGCCUUCGGGUUGUAAACUGCUUUUAUCUGUGACGAAUAUGACGGUAGCAGAUGAAUAAGGAUCGGCUAACUCCGUGCCAGCAGCCGCGGUCAUACGGAGGAUCCAAGCGUUAUCCGGAAUCACUGGGCGUAAAGAGUUGCGUAGGUGGCAAGCCAAGUCUCUGCUUAAAUGCCAAGGCUCAACCUUGGACGGGGCAGGGAAACUGGCUAGCUAGAGCAUGGUAGAGGUAGCUGGAAUUGCUGGUGUAGGAGUGAAAUCCGUAGAUAUCAGCAGGAACACCGAUGGCGUAGGCAGGCUACUGGGCCAUUGCUGACACUAAGGCACGAAAGCGUGGGGAGCGAACGGGAUUAGAUACCCCGGUAGU